UGGGGAAUAUUGCACAAUGGGCGCAAGCCUGAUGCAGCCAUGCCGCGUGUGUGAAGAAGGCCUUCGGGUUGUAAAGCACUUUCAGCGAGGAGGAAGGUGGUGGACUUAAUACGUUCAUCAAUUGACGUUACUCGCAGAAGAAGCACCGGCUAACUCCGUGCCAGCAGCCGCGGUAAUACGGAGGGUGCAAGCGUUAAUCGGAAUUACUGGGCGUAAAGCGCACGCAGGCGGUUUGUUAAGUCAGAUGUGAAAUCCCCGGGCUCAACCUGGGAACUGCAUUUGAAACUGGCAAGCUAGAGUCUCGUAGAGGGGGGUAGAAUUCCAGGUGUAGCGGUGAAAUGCGUAGAGAUCUGGAGGAAUACCGGUGGCGAAGGCGGCCCCCUGGACGAAGACUGACGCUCAGGUGCGAAAGCGUGGGGAGCAAAACAGGAUUAGAUACCCUGGUAGUCCACGCUGUAAAACGAUGUCGAUUUUGGGAGGUUGUCGCCCUUGAGGCGUGGCUUCCGGAGCUAACGCGUUAAAUCGACCGCCUGGGGAGUACGGCCGCAAGGUUAAAACUUAAAUGAAUUGACGGGGUCAUAGCUG
Molecule: ribosomal RNA, 585 nt
Filed under: uncultured bacterium
Lineage: Bacteria
Description: partial 16S ribosomal RNA
Rfam family: Bacterial small subunit ribosomal RNA
Source: RNAcentral